UACGUAGGAGGCUAGCGUUGUCCGGAUUUAUUGGGCGUAAAGAGCGUGUAGGCGGCCAUGUAGGUCCGGUGUGAAAACUCGAGGCUUAACCUCGAGAUGUCAUCGGAAACCAUUUGGCUAGAGUCCGGAAGAGGAGAGUGGAAUUCCUGGUGUAGCGGUGAAAUGCGCAGAUAUCAGGAAGAACACCAAUGGCGAAAGCAGCUCUCUGGGACGGUACUGACGCUGAGACGCGAAAGCGUGGGGAGCGAACAGG
This 253-nucleotide ribosomal RNA is filed under the name uncultured bacterium. RNAcentral describes it as "partial 16S ribosomal RNA". It matches the Rfam family "Bacterial small subunit ribosomal RNA", at positions 524 to 776 of the family's 1533-position model. The record is from RNAcentral.